This 258-nucleotide ribosomal RNA is filed under the name uncultured bacterium. RNAcentral's name for it is "partial 16S ribosomal RNA". It matches the Rfam family "Bacterial small subunit ribosomal RNA", at positions 526 to 779 of the family's 1533-position model. The record is from RNAcentral.
CGUAGGUGGCAAGCGUUGUCCGGAAUCAUUGGGCGUAAAGCGCGCGCAGGCGGUCCUUUAAGUCUGAUGUGAAAUCUUGCGGCUCAACCGUAAGCGGUCAUUGGGAAAACUGGGGGACGUUGAGUGCAGGAGAGGAAAGACGGAAUUCCAUGUGUAGCGGUGAAAUGCGUAGAGAUAUGGAGGAACACCAGUGGCGAAGGCGGCUUUCUGGCCUGAACUGACGCUGAGGCGCGAAAGACGUGGGAGGCAAACAGGAUU